This 67-nucleotide transfer RNA is filed under the name Raillietina tetragona. RNAcentral describes it as "tRNA-Leu". Lineage: Eukaryota; Metazoa; Platyhelminthes; Cestoda; Cyclophyllidea; Davaineidae. The record is from RNAcentral.
GUAAGGAUGCCAGAUGGUUAUGGGGUUGAUUUAGGUUUAAUUUAUGAUUGUUUUAUGUCUCCUUACU